GGAGAGAUGGCUGAGAGGCCGAAAGCGGCACAUUGCUAAUGUGUUGAGCGGGUUAAACUGCUCCGGGGGUUCGAAUCCCCCUCUCUCCG
This 89-nucleotide transfer RNA is filed under the name Deltaproteobacteria bacterium. Its description in RNAcentral is "tRNA-Ser". It matches the Rfam family "tRNA". From Rfam's summary of the family: Transfer RNA (tRNA) molecules are approximately 80 nucleotides in length. Their secondary structure includes four short double-helical elements and three loops (D, anti-codon, and T loops). The record is from RNAcentral. Lineage: Bacteria; Pseudomonadati; Myxococcota; Myxococcia.